Triticum urartu is the source of this 639-nucleotide non-coding RNA. NCBI's taxonomy places the organism in Eukaryota, Viridiplantae, Streptophyta, Magnoliopsida, Poales, Poaceae. The record is from RefSeq and is a predicted model, not a curated record.
AGCAGGCACCGUGGUAAUUAAGAGGGGAAGGGGAAGAUGCCACCGUGGUAAAUAUGAGGAGGGGAGGGGUCAGUUAACUGCAGUCAUUUCAUCUCUCUCCAUUCUCCCUCUCCCCAAAUCCAAAGAAGUGCUCGUUGCUCCUGCAGUUGUCCCCUGACGGACAGAUCCGAGCGCUCCUGCAGGGAUGGCCGAUGCUGCUAGCCAGAAAAUCCCCAAGAAAGUUGUUGUUGCUAUGCCAUUUGAGGAACAGGGUGUUGUGGGUGUUUAUGUUGAUGGUGGGAAAUUCAGAAAAAUCCCAUACCACACUUGACACUUCUGAUUACGGUCGCAUUGUGUUGGACAGCAAGAAGUGGAAGGAGUUCGCAGCUAGCAGAGGCCUUGCGGUCAAUUCAGCAAUUCUCAUUGGCUUCAAGGAGAGCAUGACCGGCGGUGUUGAUGUCUUGCUCGGGAUCAAGAUUCUAGGCUAGGCACUCUUUGACCAGGGGAACGAAAGACAGUACAUCUAUGAUAUGUCAAGACCCGACGAGCCUUUUUUUACGCUAUGUUAAACUCUUCGUUAGUUAACUCGUAUCUCAAGAACCGUCGUUAUGUGUUGAUAUUUAAUGCCACUCUAUGUUUGUUAUGCUUUUCAUGGGAAAA